GGAAGCGUCGCAUAGUGGCUAUUGCAGCGGGUUGCUAACCCGCGCCCUUUUUUGGGCUCGUGGGUUCGAAUCCCACCGCUUCCGCCA
This 87-nucleotide transfer RNA is filed under the name Candidatus Pacebacteria bacterium CG_4_10_14_0_8_um_filter_43_12. RNAcentral's name for it is "tRNA-Ser". It matches the Rfam family "tRNA". From Rfam's summary of the family: Transfer RNA (tRNA) molecules are approximately 80 nucleotides in length. Lineage: Bacteria; Bacillati; Minisyncoccota. RNAcentral also lists the same sequence under 1 other name. The record is from RNAcentral.